RNAcentral lists this ribosomal RNA (301 nucleotides) under uncultured bacterium. RNAcentral describes it as "partial 16S ribosomal RNA". It matches the Rfam family "Bacterial small subunit ribosomal RNA", at positions 509 to 807 of the family's 1533-position model. The record is from RNAcentral.
CAGUAGCCGCGGUAAUACGAGGGGGGCAAGCGUUGUUCGGAAUUAUUGGGCGUAAAGGGUGCGUAGGCGGUUUGAUAAGUCAUCUGUGAAAUCUCUGGGCUCAACCCAGAGUCUGCAGGCGAAACUGUCGGGCUUGAGUAUGGGAGAGGUGAGUGGAAUUUCCGGUGUAGCGGUGAAAUGCGUAGAUAUCGGAAGGAACACCUGUGGCGAAAGCGGCUCACUGGACCAUAACUGACGCUGAUGCACGAAUGCUAGGGGAGCAAACAGGAUUAGAUACCCGAGUAGUCCCUGUCUCUUAUAC